RNAcentral lists this long non-coding RNA (10110 nucleotides) under Triticum aestivum (bread wheat). RNAcentral describes it as "long non-coding RNA (TAES_LNC004966)". Lineage: Eukaryota; Viridiplantae; Streptophyta; Magnoliopsida; Poales; Poaceae. The record is from RNAcentral.
GUCGACCUCGCUCUGCCACAACCACCGGCCACCUCUCGCCCCGCUGUUGCGUCCGCGAAGACCGCCGCCGUCCACUACAUCCUCUACGCCAACAAACACGAGCCGGGGAGCACAUCUGCGACCACUACGACUCCAUCUUCCUCCUUCGACCGCCGCCGAUCUCCUCCGAUCCCGGCGUCUUCUUCAUCUGCGACGAGCUCUGCAGCUCCUAAACCUCCCGCCGAGCCUCCGUGUGCUCCUAGGUGAGCACCCCGUCCAUCCCCUUUCCCUUCUGCUCCUCGACGCACGCGUUCGCCCCGGUAUUGUCGUGCUCGCGGAUGCCCCUAUGAGCCGCCGUACCCUGGUCAUGCGCUGCCGCUGCUACCUGCUACUACCUACUGCUGUUGCCUCCUGCGCACGCGCGCUGGCCGUGCCCGGCCCUGCAUCGAGCCGCCCUGCAACCGCGGCCUGCAUCGGCCCCUCGCCCUGCGUUGCUCAGCGGCCCAGGCUCACGCCGUGCAGCGCACCCUGCGCCCAACUCGUGUGCAUGCCGCCGCUGCUAUGCUGAAUCUACUGCUGCUGCUAAUUACUGUAGCUAUGGCUAGCUUUGCGAAUAUUACACGGACUAGCUCCCUUGGCAGCCUCUAAUCAGCAGUUAAACAACUACUAACAGUGGUAAAAAUAAUAUGAGUAGGUAGCCUACUUGACAAACUUCAUUUUACCCCACUGGACCAAAUUCAUUUGAUGCAUGAAAUAAAUCCUAUGAAAAUCACAAAAUGCUCUCUUUUGUUAGCAGAAAACAGAAUUGUGUGUGCUUGUGUGUAUUCUGUGUGUGGUGGCCGGCCGGUUCUCCGUUUGCUAAUUAGUACUCCUACUAGUUAGUCUAAUAAGUGGUUAGGUAUAGUGCAAAUGACAGGUGGACCCCCCCCUCUAAAUAUCCACUUAAAAAGAAAAUGCAUGAUAUGUGUGAAUGACACCUAGGCCCCAUCUACAGUUUUGACCAGUCAACAGUCAAGCAGUUGACUGUUGACUGCCCUGUUGACUGAGUCAACUGGGACCACCAAGACCCACUGUCAGCCUCUAGUGGCCCUGUUGUGUACACUCUGCCGGGUGCACAUAGCAAUUUCACCUUUUAUUCCGAAUUAAUAAUGAUUUCAGGAAUUGUUUAAAUCUUUGAAAAAUCAUAGAAAAUAAUCUGUAACUCGGAUGAAAAACUUUUCUACAUGAAAGUUGCUCAGAACGACGAGACGAAUCCGAACACGCGAUCCGUUCGUCCGCCACACGUCCCUAGCAUAGCAAAUGUUGAACUUUUCCCCUCCGGUUCAUCUAUCUAAUAGACGUCCGGAACCGGGAAAACUUUCUCGGAUGUUUCCCUCUUCGCCAGUAUCACCUAGCACCGCGUUAGAACACGUCUAGCUUUCCCUGUUGUCAUGUUAUGCUCUUGCUUGCUAUGUAUUUACUGUUUCUUCCCCCUCUUCUUCUUCGGUAGACCUCGAGACCGCUGCUGAUGCCCCUGUGAUCGACUAUGUCGACGACGACCCUCCUUGUCUGAGCAACCAGGCAAGCCCUCCCUUUGAUCAUCCCGAUAUCGCCCAUUCUAUAAUCUCAUGCUUGCAUUAGAUUUUGCUACUGUUAUUGUUUGCUCCUAUCCUGAUGCAUAACCUGCUUUUGUACCUGUUAUUGUUACCUACUUGCUUAUCCUAAACUGCUUAGUAUAGGUUGACUAGUGAUCCAUCAGUGACCCCCACUUGUCCUUGUUGCCCCUGCUUCAUCAUCGACGCCUCCAUCGGCGUGAUCGACGACCAGAGCCCGACACCUCACAUCACAUCACGCCCCUUUAGUUGCUCGACUCUGCAGAGCUACUAUCAAGUGCCGAGGGUGAUCCCUCAUAACGCACUCCUGAUGAUAAUUCUGUAGUGUAGCUAUUCGGUCAUGGUCAUCGAGGGUGAUUUCCUCUUACACCAUUCCCGAUACGGCUCUGUCGUUCAACACCUCAAGUGUGAACCUCGAGGGUGGUCCCUCUUACGUUCACCUUGAUGAUUACAUAGAGUGGAAUCCACCGGGGGUGAUUCCUCGGGUUUUCCCCUUGCUGUCUAGACACACAGUUACCUCGACUUUACUUGGGACCUUGGUGAAAGUCGGGCGGGCCCGGAGAGCACCCACAAGAUGGUUACGUGGCACGGCCGGGCAUUCUAGACCCUUGUCGUAAGUCCACGAGACGGGGCGACGGGGUCACUUUCGAUCGUGAGUCUCUGCUCGUCUCCGCAAGCUAAUAAUACACUAUGGUUUGGGUAUUUGUUCUGAGUUGGACUCUGGCCUUUACGCACCAACCACCACGUGAGAAUAGUUAUGGGCCUCGACAUCGCAUUAUCAGCCGAAGCUUUGUCAGACGUCCAGUUCAGUAGUGCGGCACGGCUGGGCCGGCACCAUCCUGUAGUGGUGGAGCCUGGACCCGCCCUGUACGCAACGAUUCGGAGUGCAACGGGCGAUGGGCCCAGACCCCGGAGUGCUUAGGAUGUAGACCGGCGGGGACCUCUCUGCUGAGCCUAGGUAGGGCUGCAACGUGUUGAUCUUCCGAGGCCGGGCAUUGACCCCAAAAAGGUGUGUCCGGCCAACGUGAUCGAGCGUGUUGGCAAACGUGGUGCACCCCCUGCAGGGAAGAUUAUCUAUUAAUAGCCGUGUCCACGGUAACGGACGUUCAGACUUAUAUCCUGAUCUUAUACAACUACGAAUGGAUACUUGGAUAUGUGGCUCCGGGAUUGCUUUCUCGCGGGGAGUCGAGAAAGGAUCUCUGGGCAUUAAUGUUACAACAUGCUUGUUAAUUAUAAACUGCUAUUCUUUACUCUUCUACAUGCUGCAAGAUGCUUGGAGCUGCGUGAAGAUGCUAGUCUUCGAUAGGCUAGGCCUUCCCCCUCUAUUCUAGCAUUCUGCAGUUCAGUCCACAGAUACAAACCUUCCAUUUGAUACCAGUGCAUACUUAGUAUAGAUCUGAUGCUUGCGAGUACUUUGGAUGAGUACUCACGGUUGCUUUGCUACCCCCCUUUUCCCCCUUCUUUCUUCUUUCAGGUUGAUGCAACCAGAUGGUGGAUCCCUGGAGCCAGAUGCCACCGCCGAUGGAUGCUGCUACGUGAAGACCGCCGACGGCCAGGAGUAGUUAGGAGGUCCCAGGCAGGAGGCCUUGCCUCUUCGAUCGUUGUUACUUUUGUGCUAGCCUUCUUAAGGCAUCCUUGUUUAACUUAUGUCUGUACUCAGAUAUUGUUGCUUCCGCUGACUCUUGUGUAUCGAGCUUGUAUUCGAGCCCUCGAGGCCCCUGGCUUGUAAUAUAAAGCUUGUAUUAUUUUAUUUGUGUCUAGAGUUGUGUUGUGAUAUCUUCCCGUGAGUCCCUGAUCUUGAUCGUACACAUUUGCUUGUAUGAUUAGUGUACAAUUGAAUCCGGGGUGUCACAAGUUGGUAUCAGAGCCGAUUUCCUGUAGGAUCCCCCUUUCCAACUCCUUGGCCGAAGUUGAGUCUAGUCUUUGAAAAACUGAUUUACUAACAUGGUUGUGUGGCUUACGAGCCCACGUCGCCAAUUGGGUGGUAUUAGGAUCUUUUAUUCCUCGUCUAUACUCUGGGACUCGGAUCUCUCUUCUAUUCGGGUUAAAUAAUUUUGUUAACUCUAACUCUAGGAUCUCGUAAAUACUUCCUCCCGGAGAGCCCUUCACUCCAUAUGAUGGCUUGGUGCACCAGAAGAUUCUGAAGAUACUCUCCGAUACUUUUCCGAGACCCUUGUACCCUUUGUCAUUGCAAUCCGUACCACCGAUAAAUCCUUAUGCGUAACUACCUAUGUUGUCGUUCAUACCUUCAUCCCUUGUUGCUCUUGUUAUUACAAGAUGUCCUGAAAAAUCCUUCGAUGUUCCGAGAAUUCUUUAUGUUUACUGCCCUGCAGUUCCUUGCCACAUGAAUACCCCUACGGAUAAUUACUCGUGCUUGCCGAGUAUCCGUUCAUCCACAGUUGUUCAUGUGAUUCACAAGAUAAUUUGGAAUACCAUCCGACCUUCCGAUAAUCCUCUCCAACUAUUGAUGUGCUAAUAUUUAUCUGCUUGCAUUAUGGUUACUUCCAGUUGUCUAGCAAUACUCAUUAGCAUCCUUUGUCAUCGUAAUAUUGAGCAUUUGAUUCAAUUCGUUUGCGAAUUCUCAUGAUCAUUAGUCCUAUUUAAAAUUCUCCCCUUGGUUCAGACGUCACUCCGGACAUGAGCUGGUGUUCGGCGAAUCAAUCCUUGAUUGAUUAUCGAUCUAUGUCUAUUCUACUUACUUGUCUUGGAUUAGAGCCUCUGCAUCUGAUCCCCCAUUUUGGAAAUAUUCCUUUGCAUUUGAUUUUUGAAUUAGUCAGUUGUUUAUAUAACCUGACCUCUUGCAUUCUUUCUUCUUUUGUUUGAGUACCGAUACUCACAUCAGAUCCAUUGUGGACCUCUAGGUCCUUUGUUGGGUUUUAUCUUACAACGUCCUUCUUAUUCAGUAACCUUGUGAGCCUUUCCCCGGAUACAUAAUGCCUUUGAUAAAUUGUAUCCCCUGCUUUUGUCAACCAUGCUCUGCUUCCGAGCUUGAGUUAUUUAUUCCUAAAGUUUGUGGAAUUUGUUCCUAAGAUGCCCCGAUGGGUUGACUCUAUGUCUUCCCUAAAUCUGGGUGAACUCGAAAGUUAUGCAGGUUAUACUCUAUUGGCUUUUCGCCAGGUAAAAUUUCAAUGCUACAACUUCUUCGAAUGCGAGAAGUGAAUGGAAAGUUGUACAUUAGAGAAGUGGGAGUCGACCUUGAACUUUUGUGUUCAUGCCCAUGGACCCGAUGUGGAACUUAUCAUGGAAGCUUCUUGUUAUAAUAAUAAUCCCCUUGUGAUAAGUUCAUAUGUUAUCUAUAUUUGGUCCUUUCCAACUGUGGUUUCGACCAUAUUGUUCUUAUUUGAUCCCAUUUCUCGGACAAGUUAAAGUACUUGUCUUCUUCAGAUCAUUUCACCUGUCCAACCUCUACUUUGAUCUACCUCCGAGUAUUACCCUAUAGUAUCUCGAGAAUAUCACGAAACUACAUAACCCCUUAUGAGUUCUUCAUCAACUAUUAUUUCUCGCUGAUUCCAAUUUUCCACGGGUUCUGAGUUGUUAGACACUCGAGAAUACCGAUAACCGAUUCGAGUCUAUACUUUCCUUUCCAUUGUUUCGUUUAAACUUUCUUGUAACCUAAAAUAUCUGAGCAGUGGUAUUUCCCUGCUUAUGUGAACACCUCGGUGUACAAACUCUGUCAGAAAGACCUUGUUGCUAUUGUUGAUGACAUUCCGGUAGCCACCGAUGGACGAGAACUUUGCCUAUUGGUCCGCCUCGCCUUGCGAGUAGGAAAAUGGUUCUCUUCGUCCCUCGCCCUUCGUACCAACAUUGUUGCCAACUUAAUUGAUAGGCUAUCCACUGACCUGCCUUGCUAUUAUGACCGUGCAAAAUGAUUUGCGCCUUCCUUCUUUUAACCCACAUGGUGGGCCCAUAACCCACAAUUUCACAGGAUCGAAACCUGACUCUCCUGUACAACCUUAACUCUGAAAUAUUCUUUGCACUUGGCUUCGUAUGUAAAUCACAAGCCACCUUCCUAGUGAUCAUUCUGGUAUCAGAGGAAAUACUUAUUCCCAUUGCUCUGGACCCCUUUCACCCUCGGUUUCAGGCAACGAACGAUUGCCUACCCGGUUGAACCUUCUUAUUGCACCUUCUUACCUUGCUCUCAAUAAAUUUCUUAAAUUUCAACUCGAGAGAUGCCUCUAUGCCACGUUCAGUGAGAUAGCCCUCAGGUACCUAUCUUGUGAUGAGCUCCGUCCUUCUCUAGUCUUUCCCCCUUACAUCACCACUUAAAUCUCGAGACGAGAUUUCUUGUAGUGGAGGAGAAUUGUGACGCCCGGAUAAUUAAGCUACAGUAAUCCCAAGUUAAUAGUGCCACAUCACCACUCUUACUGUUGCUAAUCCCCGGUUGAUCUAAAUCGCAAUUCAAAUUCAAAUUAAAGUCCAAAACUUGAAGUUUUCAAACAUGAAAGCUGAAAUGUUCAAACUGUGGAAAAUAAUCUCUGGUUAUUUGUCUUGUUGAAACCAACCUCUUUUGAAUUCAUAAAAUGCCCCUGAAAUUUAUUUGUGGUCCAACAACCAGUUAUUUGACCUUUUCAAUUUCAAAAAAAAUAGUUGAACACCCCCCCAGAUGCAUUGAAGCUUUUUGUAACAAGCCAGGAUAUUGCACUUUAUUUUUGUGCCAAGUUUUAUAUUAAAGAAAACUCUUUAAGUAGCUCAAAUAUAAUGCAAAGUAGGAAAGGUAUAAAUAAAUGAAAAAGAAACUACAAACAAUUGGAAAGAAGACAGAGGCCCCGCAACCCCAUAUCCCCUGGGCCUUGAACCAACGGGUCCAGCCGGCCCACUCUAACCCCUCGCCCCUGUUUCCUGUAUCUCGGGCGCGUCCGACCGAGCGCCCGCUCGCGCUCGUCCCCGUCGAACCCCUUCACCGGCGAUGGCCAGGAGGAUAAGGCCUCCACCGAGGCACCCCCCAUAGAUAUUUUCUUCCCCUGCCUCCGCCCACUUCCACAUGCCCCGGCGCUCUCCACUCACCUCGCUCUCUCCCUCCUCACUGAUUCCCCAUCUACCGAGCGCGACCGUCACCGACCACCACGCUUCGUCGCGGCCACCGGCAUUUCUGCGCCCGCAGCUCGUGUCCACGAGCACAGCCUCGUUUGUCUCUGUCGACUGGAGCCGUCCAUUUGAGCCGGGCGAUGCCAUUGUGCGCAGAUCGAGCCGGUCUUGUCUUUUGCAUCACCAGCAAUCGCCGUCGACCUCGCUCUGCCACAACCACCGGCCACCUCUCGCCCCGCUGUUGCGUCCGCGAAGACCGCCGCCGUCCACUACAUCCUCUACGCCAACAAACACGAGCCGGGGAGCACAUAUGCGACCACUACGAUUCCAUCUUCCUCCUUCGACCGCCGCCGAUCUCCUCCGAUCCCGGCGUCUUCUUCGUCUGCGACGAGCUCUGCAGCUCCUAAACCUCCCGCCGAGCCUCUGUGUGCUCCUAGGUGAGCACCCCGUCCAUCCCCUUUCCCUUCUGCUCCUCGACGCACGCGUCCGCCCCGGCGUUGUCGCGCUCCCGGAUGCCCCUGUGAGCUGCCGUACCCUGGUCAUGCGCUUCCGCUGCUACCUGCUACUACCUACUGCUGUUGCCUCCUGCGCACGCGCGCUGGCCGCGCCCGGCCCUGCAUCGAGCCGCCCUGCAACCGCGGCCUGCAUCGGCCCCUCGCCCUGCGUCGCUCAGCGGCCCAGGCUCACGCCGUGCAGCGCCGCACCCUGCGCCCAACUCGUGUGCAUGCCGCCGCUGCUAUGCUGAAUCUACUGCUGCUGCUAAUUACAGUAGCUAUGGCUAGCUUUGCGAAUAUUACACGGACUAGCUCCCUUGAUAGCCUCUAAUCAGCAGUUAAACAACUACUAACAGUGGUAAAAAUAAUAUGAGUAGGUAGCCUACUUGACAAACUUCAUUUUACCCCACUGGACCAAAUUCAUUUGAUGCAUGAAAUAAAUCCUAUGAAAAUCACAAAAUGCUAUCUUUUGUUAGCAGAAAACAGAACUGUGUGUGCGUGUGUGUAUUCUGUGUGUGGUGGCCGGCCGGUUCUCCGUUUGCUAAUUAGUACUCCUACUAGUUAGUCUAAUAAGUGGUUAGGUAUAGUGCAAAUGACAGGUGGACCCCCCCUCUAAAUAUUCACUUAAAAAGAAAAUGCAUGAUAUGUGUGAAUGACACCUAUGCCCCAUCUACAGUUUUGACCAGUCAAUAGUCAAGCAGUUGACUGUUGACUGCCCUGUUGAUUGAGUCAACUGGGACCACCAAGACCCACUGUCAGCCUCUAGUGGCCCUGCUGUGUACACUGUGCCGGGUGCACAUAGCAAUUUCAUCUUUUAUUCCGAAUUAAUAAUGAUUUCAGGAAUUGUUUAAAUCUUUGAAAAAUCAUAGAAAAUAAUCCGUAACUCGGAUGAAAAACUUUUCUACAUGAAAGUUGCUCAGAACGAUGAGAUGAAUCCGAACACGCGAUCCGUUCGUCCGCCACACGUCCCUAGCAUAGCAAACGUUGAACUUUUCCCCUCCGGUUCAUCUAUCUAAUAGACGUCCGGAACCGGGAAAACUUUCCCGGAUGUUUCCCCCUUCGCCAGUAUCACCUAGCACCGCGUUAGAACACGUCUAGCUUUCCCUGUUGUCAUGUUAUGCUCUUGCUUGCUUUGUAUUUACUGUUUCUUCCCCCUCUUCUUCUUCGGUAGACCUCGAGACCGCUGCUGAUGCCCCUGUGAUCGACUACGUCGACGACGACCCUCCUUGUCUGAGCAACCAGGCAAGCCCUCCCUUUGAUCAUCCCGAUAUCGCCCAUUCUAUACUCUCAUGCUUGCAUUAGAUUUUGCUACUGUUAUUGUUUGCUCCUAUCCUGAUGCAUAACCUGCUUUUGUACCUGUUAUUCUUACCUACUUGCUUAUCCUAAACUGCUUAGUAUAGGUUGACUAGUGAUCCAUCAGUGACCUCCACUUGUCCUUGUCGCCCCUGCUUCAUCAUCGACGCCUCCAUCGACGUGAUCGACGACCAGAGCCCGACACCUCACAUCACAUCACGCCCCUUUAGUUGCUCGACUCUGCAGAGCUACUAUCGAGUGCCGAGGGUGAUCCCUCAUAACGCACUCCUGAUGAUAAUUCUGUAGUGUAGCUAUUCGGUCGUGGUCAUCGAGGGUGAUUUCCUCUUUCACCAUUCCCGAUACGGCUCUGUCGUUCAACACCUCAAGUGUGAACCUCGAUGGUGGUCCCUCUUACGUUCACCUUGAUGAUUACAUUGAGUGGAAUCCACCGGGGGUGAUUCCUCGGGUUUUCCCCUUGAUGUCUAGACACACAGUUACCUCGACUUUACUUGGGACCUUGGUGAAAGUCGGGCGGGCCCGGAGAGCACCCGAAAGAUGGUUACGUGGCACAGCCGGGCAUUCUAGGCCCUUGUCGUAAGUCCACGAGACGGGGCGACGGGGUCACUUUCGAUCGUGAGUCUCUGCUCGUCUCCGCAAGCUAAUAAUACACUAUGGUUUGGGUAUUUGUUCUGAGUUGGCCUCUGGCCUUUACGCACCAACCACCACGUGAGAAUAGUUAUGAGCCUCGACGUCGCAUUAUCAGCCGAAGCUUUGUCAGACGUCCAGUUCAGCAGUGCGGCAUGGCUGGGUCGGCACCAUCGUGUAGUGGUGGAGCCUGGACCCGCCCUGUACGCAAUGAUUCGGAGUGCAACGGGCGAUGGGCCCAGACCCCGGAGUGCUUAGGAUGUAGACCGGCGGGGACCUCUCUGCUGAGCCUAGGUAGGGCUGCAACGUGUUGAUCUUCCGAGGCCGGGCAUUGACCCCAAAAAGGUGUGUCCGGCCAACGUGAUCGAGCGUGUUGGCAAACGUGGUGCACCCCCUGCAGGGAAGAUUAUCUAUUAAUAGCCGUGUCCAUGGUAACGGACGUUCAGACUUAUAUCCUAAUCUUAUACAACUACGAACGGAUACUUGGAUAUGUGGCUCCGGGAUUGCUUUCUCGCGGGGAGUCGAGAAAGGAUCUCUGGGCAUUAAUGUUACAACAUGCUUGUUAAUUAUAAACUGCUAUUCUUUACUCUUCUACAUGCUGCAAGAUGCUCGGAGUUGCGUGAAGAUGCUAGUCUUCGAUAGGCUAGGCCUUCCCCCUCUAUUCUGGCAUUCUGCAGUUCAGUCCACAGAUACAAACCUUCCAUUUGAUACCAGUGCAUACUUAGUAUAGAUCUGAUGCUUGCGAGUACUUUGGAUGAGUACUCACGGUUGCUUUGCUACCCCCCCCCUUCCCGCUUCUUUCUUCUUUCCGGUUGAUGCAACCAGAUGGUGGAUCCCUGGAGCCAGAUGCCACCGCCGAUGGAUGCUGCUACGUGAAGACCGCCGACGGCAGGAGUAGUUAGGAGGUCCCAGGCAGGAGGCCUUGGCUCUUCGAUCGUUGUUGCUUUUGUGCUAGCCUUCUUAAGGCAUCCUUGUUUAACUUAUGUCUGUACUCAGAUAUUGUUGCUUCUGCUGACUCUUGUGUAUCGAGCUUGUAUUCGAUCCCUCGAGGCCCCUGGCUUGUAAUAUAAAGCUUGUAUUAU